CGAGAUGAGUUCUCCCUGACCCUUUGAGAGUCCUGAAGGAACGUUGAAGACGACGACGUUGAUAGGCCGGGUGUGUAAGCGCAGCGAUGCGUUGAGCUAACCGGUACUAAUGAACCGUGAGGCUUAACCUUACAACGCCGAAGCUGUU
RNAcentral lists this ribosomal RNA (148 nucleotides) under Escherichia coli. Its description in RNAcentral is "partial 23S ribosomal RNA". The stretch from base 1 to 131 matches the Rfam family "Bacterial large subunit ribosomal RNA", at positions 2800 to 2925 of the family's 2925-position model. Lineage: Bacteria; Pseudomonadati; Pseudomonadota; Gammaproteobacteria; Enterobacterales; Enterobacteriaceae. The record is from RNAcentral.